Molecule: ribosomal RNA, 494 nt
Filed under: uncultured bacterium
Lineage: Bacteria
Description: partial 16S ribosomal RNA
Rfam family: Bacterial small subunit ribosomal RNA
Source: RNAcentral
GACGAACGCUGGCGGCGUGCUUAACACAUGCAAGUCGAACGGUGAGGCCCCUUCCUUUUUGGUGGGUGUGGAUGCGUGGCGAACAGGUGAGUAACACGUGACUAACCUGCCCCCUUCUUCUGGAUAACCGCAUGAAAGUGUCGCUAAUACGGGAUAUUCUGGGUCUGUGGCAUGAUGGGUCUGGGAAAGAUGUUGUUUCGGUGGGGGAUGGGCUCGCGGCCUUUCAGGUUGGUGGUGGGGUGAUGGCCUGCCAAGGCUGUGACGGGUCGCCGGCAUGAGAGGGUGGACGGCCACAGGGGGACUGAGACACGGUCGGGACUGGGACGGGGCGCAGCAGCGGGGGGGAGGGGACAGUGGGGGAAAUGCUGAUGCAGCGCAGCCCCGUGAGGGAUGGAGGCCGUCGGGGUGUGAAGCCCUUUCGCUAGUGAAGCAGGUCUGCCUGGUUUGAGGGUUGGGUGACGGUAGCUGGAGAAGAAGCGCCGGCUAACUACGUG